UUCUCUCUUUGUUUAGGCAGAUCAUUAUUUAUUUAACUGUAGUUGCAUUGUGAAUUAUUUGUAUUAUGUUGUUCCAGAUCAUUUUCUCGUAGUAGCUUUGAUUUGGCUCUGCCUUGGUGUUUGAGCCCAAAGCUGAAUCUUUUUCUCUUUGUUUUCUUGAAGUGCAGGAUAUAAUCUGAAAUUCCAUUUGUUGAGUCUCUUACGUCACCAUGUGUGUGAUGUGGAAUGAAGAGAUGUGAAAGAUGGAUUCAUGAGACCAAGCGUGGGUGAUAAUGAACUCUGAAAACAUUUUAUAAAACAAUUAUCCCCAUUCUUCUUCUCUGUUAGCACUUUGUUUGCAAAAUACUUCUUAAUUAUUUGUUAGCCAUACAUGUCAGCUGAGGUCCUUUUUAUGCCCGUGGUCUAGAUGGUGGUGAUGGAUUAAAUGGGUUUCUGUAGGUCCCAGAGAUUUUAAGGCUAAUGAUAAUUAAGUAUUGUUAUUGGGCCAGGCAAUGUUCUAGGAUAUUUACCGUUUUUACACUGAUUUGUCCCUCCCAACCUUCUGGGAUGGGUGACUAUUACCGUAUUCAUUUUACAAAUGAAAUUGGGAUGCAGGAUGGUUAAAUAACUUAUCCAAGGUUACUUAGCCAGAAGUUGUCAAGUCCAGAUUUGAACCCAUGCUGUCUGGCUCCAGAGUCCAUGAUUCUAGUCAUUGCCCUAUACUGUACUGUGUAGUUUCCGAAUUAUAUGUGGUCAUUUGGUGCCCAAGCUUGCACCAUAUCCUGUCUAAGGAGUUUUAAUUUGUACUUUGUUUGGUGUCUCCCUGUAAUGAUAUAAAUGGCACUGAAACAUAUAUGGGCUGGGGACAGUUAAUUUCAGGUUCCACUGGAAUAGGAACUGUUGAUUAGAUUGUGGACCCUGCGAAGACAUGAGCUCAGCUCAGUGACAGUGGAGUGUCCAGAUCCAGUCACUGCUUUGGCUUUUUUGAGUUUCACUCUGUGUGACCUUUUAGAUGCUUGUAGUUUGCUUAUUGUGGGUUUUUGGUUUUUUAAAAUUAUCUAUUUUUUUUUUUUUUGCUAUGAACCUCAUUUAACCUGUCUUUUAGUGACUACCGUAAAAAACAAGAAUACCUCAGAGCUCUCCGGAAGAAGGCUCUUGAAAAAAAUCCAGAUGAAUUCUACUACAAAAUGACUCGGGUUAAACUCCAGGAUGGAGUACAUAUUAUUAAGGAGACUAAGGAAGAAGUAACCCCAGAACAACUAAAGCUGAUGAGAACUCAGGACGUCAAAUAUAUAGAAAUGAAGAGGGUUGCAGAAGCUAAGAAAAUUGAAAGACUAAAAUCAGAGCUCCAUCUGCUGGAUUUCCAGGGGAAGCAACAGAACAAGCAUGUGUUCUUUUUUGACACCAAAAAGGAAGUUGAACAGUUUGACGUCGCAACUCACCUGCAGACAGCCCCGGAGCUAGUCGACAGAGUCUUUAAUAGGCCCAGGAUAGAGACCUUGCAGAAAGAAAAAGUGAAAGGAGUUACCAAUCAGACUGGACUUAAGCGAAUAGCUAAAGAAAGGCAAAAGCAGUAUAACUGCCUGACACAGCGGAUUGAACGAGAGAAGAAAUUGUUCGUUAUUGCUCAGAAAAUUCAAACACGCAAAGAUCUUAUGGAUAAAACUCAGAAAGUGAAGGUGAAGAAAGAAACGGUGAACUCCCCAGCUAUUUAUAAAUUUCAGAGUCGUCGAAAACGUUGACAUGUUAUAGAUAAGCCUUGUCAUUCUGCAUCAAAAAUCUGUUGUCUUUUUCUAGUAACUUCAAAUUCCAUUACUCCAAAUGGCAUGGUUUUCCGGUUUGUAACCGUAACUAAGUUGUCAGUCUGACAUUUAAUGUCUUUCUAUGGACAACAAUAAAUCUCCCUCCCUUCUGU
RNAcentral lists this small RNA (1894 nucleotides) under Pongo abelii (Sumatran orangutan). Its description in RNAcentral is "processed transcript". The record is from RNAcentral. Lineage: Eukaryota; Metazoa; Chordata; Mammalia; Primates; Hominidae.